This 305-nucleotide unclassified non-coding RNA is filed under the name plant metagenome. Its description in RNAcentral is "partial contains 5.8S ribosomal RNA, internal transcribed spacer 2, and large subunit ribosomal RNA". The stretch from base 1 to 105 matches the Rfam family "5.8S ribosomal RNA", at positions 50 to 154 of the family's 154-position model. The record is from RNAcentral.
GAAAUGCGAUAAGUAAUGUGAAUUGCAGAAUUCAGUGAAUCAUCGAAUCUUUGAACGCACAUUGCGCCCGCCAGUAUUCUGGCGGGCAUGCCUGUUCGAGCGUCAUUUCAACCAUCAAGCCCCCGGCUUGUGUUGGGGACCUGCGGCUGCCCGCAGGCCCUGAAAAACAGUGGCGGGCUCGCUGUCACACCGAGCGUAGUAGCAUACAUUCUCGCUCAGGGCGUGCUGCGGGUUCCGGCCGUUAAACGACCGUCAUAACCCAAGGUUGACCUCGGAUCAGGUAGGAAGACCCGCUGAACUUAAGC